CCUACGGGUGGCAGCAGUGGGGGAUAUUGCACAAUGGGGGAAACCCUGAUGCAGCGACGCCGUGUGUGGGAAGACGGUCCUCUGGUUUUUAAACCACGUUCCCCAGGUACGAAAAUGACGGUCCCUGGGGAGGAAGCUCCGGCUAACUACGUGCCAGCACCCGCGGUAAUACGUAGGGAGCGCGGUUUGUCCGGAAUUACUGGGUGUAAAGGGAGCGUAGGCGGGGAUGCAAGUUGGGUGUAAAAACUACCGGCUCAACUGGUAGUCGCACUCAAAACUGCAGCUCUUGAGUGAAGUAGAGGCAGGCGGAAUUCCUAGUGUAGCGGUGAAAUGCGUAGAUAUUAGGAGGAACACCAGUGGCGAAGGCGGCCUGCUGGGCUUUUACUGACGCUGAGGCUCGAAAGUGUGGGGAGCAAACAGGAUUAGAUACCCGGGUAGUC
RNAcentral lists this ribosomal RNA (440 nucleotides) under uncultured bacterium. RNAcentral describes it as "partial 16S ribosomal RNA". It matches the Rfam family "Bacterial small subunit ribosomal RNA", at positions 338 to 795 of the family's 1533-position model. The record is from RNAcentral.